RNAcentral lists this ribosomal RNA (468 nucleotides) under uncultured bacterium. RNAcentral describes it as "partial 16S ribosomal RNA". It matches the Rfam family "Bacterial small subunit ribosomal RNA", at positions 28 to 507 of the family's 1533-position model. The record is from RNAcentral.
GACGAACGCUGGCGGCGUGCUUAACACAUGCAAGUCGAACGGAAAGGCCCUGCUUUUGUGGGGUGCUCGAGUGGCGAACGGGUGAGUAACACGUGAGUAACCUGCCCUUGACUUUGGGAUAACUUCAGGAAACUGGGGCUAAUACCGGAUAGGAGCUCCUGCUGCAUGGUGGGGGUUGGAAAGUUUCGGCGGUUGGGGAUGGACUCGCGGCUUAUCAGCUUGUUGGUGGGGUAGUGGCUUACCAAGGCUUUGACGGGUAGCCGGCCUGAGAGGGUGACCGGCCACAUUGGGACUGAGAUACGGCCCAGACUCCUACGGGAGGCAGCAGUGGGGAAUAUUGCACAAUGGGCCGAAGCCUGAUGCAGCAACGCCGGGUGCGGGAUGACGGCCUUCGGGUUGUAAACCGCUUUCGCCUGUGACGAAGCGUGAGUGACGGUAAUGGGUAAAGAAGCACCGGCUAACUACGUG